UUAACACAUGCAAGUCGAGCGGCAGCGGACCCUUCGGGGUGCGGAGAGGGGCGGACGGGUGAGUAAUGCAUGGGAAUCUGCCCGGUAGUGGGGGAUAACCCGGGGAAACCCGGGCUAAUACCGCAUACCUCCCACGGGAGAAAGCAGGGGAUCUUCGGACCUUGCGCUAUCGGAUGAGCCCAUGUCGGAUUAGCUUGCUGGUGAGGUAACGGCUCACCAGGGCUGCGAUCCGUAGCUGGUUUGAGAGAAUGAUCAGCCACACCGGGACUGAGACACGGCCCGGACUCCUACGGGAGGCAGCAGUGGGGAAUAUUGGACAAUGGGCGAAAGCCUGAUCCAGCCAUGCCGCGUGUGUGAAGAAGGCCCUCGGGUUGUAAAGCACUUUCAGCGGGGAAGAAGGCGUGGCGGUUAAUACCCGCCACGAAGGACAUCACCCGCAGAAGAAGCACCGGCUAACUCCGUGCCAGCAGCCGCGGUAAUACGGAGGGUGCAAGCGUUAAUCGGAAUUACUGGGCGUAAAGGGCGCGUAGGCGGCCUGUCACGCCGGGUGUGAAAGCCCCGGGCUCAACCCGGGAACGGCAUCCGGAACGGGCAGGCUCGAGUGCAGGAGAGGAAGGUAGAAUUCCCGGUGUAGCGGUGAAAUGCGUAGAGAUCGGGAGGAAUACCAGUGGCGAAGGCGGCCUUCUGGACUGACACUGACGCUGAGGCGCGAAAGCAUGGGUAGCAAACAGGAUUAGAUACCCUGGUAGUCCAUGCCGUAAACGAUGUCGACCAGCCGUUGGCCUCCUCGAGAGGCUGGUGGCGCAGUUAACGCGCUAAGUCGACCGCCUGGGGGAGUACGGCCGCAAGGCUAAAACUCAAUGAAUUGACGGGGGCCCGCACAAGCGGGUGGAGCAUGUGGGUUUAAUUCGAUGCAACGCGGAAGAACCCUUACCUGCCCUUUGACAUCCCGGGAAAUCCGGCCGGAGACGGGCGGAGUUGCCCUUUCGGGAAACCCCGGAGAACAGGG
This 1009-nucleotide ribosomal RNA is filed under the name uncultured Kushneria sp. RNAcentral's name for it is "bacterial SSU rRNA". It matches the Rfam family "Bacterial small subunit ribosomal RNA", at positions 48 to 1040 of the family's 1533-position model. Lineage: Bacteria; Pseudomonadati; Pseudomonadota; Gammaproteobacteria; Oceanospirillales; Halomonadaceae. The record is from RNAcentral.